This 426-nucleotide ribosomal RNA is filed under the name uncultured rumen bacterium. RNAcentral's name for it is "bacterial SSU rRNA". It matches the Rfam family "Bacterial small subunit ribosomal RNA", at positions 354 to 776 of the family's 1533-position model. The record is from RNAcentral.
GUGAGGGAUAUUGGGCAAUGGGGGGAACCCUGACCCAGCCAUGCCGCGUGAGGGAAGUAGGCCCUACGGGUCGUGAACCUCUUUUAUUCGGGGACAAGGGCGCGGUCGGGAACCGUGCUUGAGGGUACCGAAGGAAUAAGCGUCGGCUAACUCCGUGCCAGCAGCCGCGGUAAUACGGAGGACGCGAGCGUUAUCCGGAUUCAUUGGGUUUAAAGGGUGCGCAGGCGGCCUGUCAAGUCAGCGGUGAAAGCCCGGGGCCCAACCCCGGAAGUGCCGUUGAUACUGUCGGGCUGGAAUGCGGUCGAGGCGGGCGGAACGUGGCGUGUAGCGGUGAAAUGCGUAGAUAUGCCACAGAACGCCGAUAGCGGAGGCAGCUCGCCAGGCCUGCAUUGACGCUCGGGCACGAAAGCGUGGGGAUCGAACAGG